ACCGCAACAACCUCUCUCCCCAUUUUUAUUCUCGCGAAACGAUACCGCAGCGUAGUUUUCCAAGAGAGACGGUGGAAUUUAAAAAGCAAGUCGCUGCGUUUUGCGUUUCCUUGAUUUUGUUCGCUUCCUUCCUUCUCUCUCUAAAGUUCGUUUCAACUUUCAGGCUUUUCUAAUGAGUCACCGAAUACUGAAAGAUGGUACGAAGGCUGAGACUCAUGUCACUUCCAGUAUCAGCACUGGAUCUACUGUGCUAAUCGUAUUCCUUGUCCUUGUGGUCCUCGUGGUGAUCUUUUUGUUCCUUUUCAAGUUCUGGCAAAAGAAGAAAAGAGAGGAGCAGUAUGCCCGUCUUUUGAAGUUGUUUGAAGAGGAUGAUGAGCUUGAACUUGAACUUGGUCUUCGGGAUUGACCCAAAACCUUACAAUUUUAUGUUCAUUAUAGUUGAGGGUUAAAUGUCUUUAUUUAUCAGGAAAACUUGUUCCUUUAAAAGCCUUGAUUUGGAUGUGAUAUGCAUACUCCUAUGAGGUCUAUCAGAACAGUACACUACACAACUGUAGGUGGCCAUUUCCCAUCUGGCAUUCCACCAUUCCCUAAUAAGAUUCUAUCAUCCAGGUCUGAUGCAACUUAGAGGUGCAAAGUGGUCGAGGAAUGUUAACUGAUCGAUGAUACUGGGUCUGACCGAUAUUUACUAGUUUUUUCUAAAGAUUUUGGUUGGCAGUCUUUUUCAUAUAAAUUUCAUGCCCAGACAUUAUGAACAUGGGUUGCUCUUCUAUGAUUUGUUUGAUGCUUUCUUGAAUUCAAAAUUUUAAGUUGGAAGUAAUGUUGGGGAGUUUCAAUCAAAAGUAAUGUUGGGGAGUUAAACCACAAGCAUUAACCCCAUUUGGAUAGUAAAAGUGUUUCAUCUCAUCUCAUUUCAUCAUUACAACUUUCUCAAAUUUCCACAUAAAUUAUAAUAAACAACUCAACUUUUUAAAUCCCAAAACAAUAAUAAUAUUAAAAAAUAAUAUUCUAACAAUAUUUUAUUCAACUUUUAACUUUCAUCUCAUCUCAACUCACUAUCCAAACAGCACCUAAGUGUUUAACCACUUGAAUAAUACAAGUUUUAACACCCUCCCCCCAAAAAUAAAGACAAAAAAGAAACGAAUGAAUCCAAAAGAUUGACUAUAAAACUAAAAUGAAAAUACAUAUAUCACUGACUAUCAAGUGAUAAUAGCUCCCGCAUUUAGGUAUAAUUUUGAGAGCAUUGGGUAUUUUGACACAGAUAUUCAAACCGAAAAUUGACCCGUAAGGUACGCAAGAAAGAAUGGAAUGGAUCACAAAGGAUGACCCACUUACAACCAUUUGAACAGAGAACAAAACUCAAUAUAUAGCUACAUGGAAUCUAUAAGGAAGCAACAGGCAAGUUCAGACAGACAAAAAAUGUUUAGACAGAUAAAGUUCCAUAUUACAUUGCCAACUAUCUAUUAACACUCGACCGAAUUCCACUGUUACUCAACAAGUAAGUUGCUUUACCAAACUAGUAGUGAGAGGAAAGAAAAGGUGGGGAAAGGAGGAGAAGAAUGGGAAAAAAACACUUCAUGAU
Molecule: RNA transcript, 1579 nt
Organism: Juglans microcarpa x Juglans regia
Lineage: Eukaryota; Viridiplantae; Streptophyta; Magnoliopsida; Fagales; Juglandaceae
Exons: 4
Source: RefSeq, a predicted model, not a curated record